UUAAGUUAUGAGUCAAUUCCCGAUAGGAUUCACGCUUUGACGUGAAGCUGCCUUGUAACCGAACGACGUUGAGAUUAUCGGUCAACUCUGACGUCCACCAUAUCUAGGGGGAAUAUUCAAUU
Molecule: small RNA, 122 nt
Filed under: Levilactobacillus zymae
Lineage: Bacteria; Bacillati; Bacillota; Bacilli; Lactobacillales; Lactobacillaceae
Description: Lactobacillus zymae SAM-III sequence
Rfam family: SAM-III riboswitch aptamer (SMK box)
Source: RNAcentral